GCACAUUUAAUUGCAACGUUGUUGCACAGUUACAUUAAACCAUACAUUUAUAAAAACAUUAGCAGGUGUUCACUUGCUGCUGCAUGGCACAUCACUUGCUGCUGCAGCCUGGCACAGGUCAGAGUAUUUUGGCGGUUGCCAUCUUCAAACGGUCGUAUUUUAAAAACUAUAAAUCCUACAGCGAAAAGCUUUAUAUUGUGAGAAUCACAAGACCCAUACCUACAUUUUGAUGCAUAGUAUGUCUCUGAAGUAUUAAAAAUGAAGGCACAGUCGCAGUUUAGAAAUUGCACUUCAAAUUUGAGCUUUGUAGAGUGAAGUUUCAAUGAAUGUCAAUGGACGGUGUUAGUUGCAAACAAAUGAUUAUAUUGUGAAAACUAUCAGGACUAUGGCUUAGCCGUUGACAUGUUUAGUGGCAGCAGGGAUAGCUGAACGUUUUGAUAUAAGAUUUGUGUAGGUGGGCUUAAAAAUGAGAGAGUGGUGGCAGUUUAGAAAUCAUGUCCUGAUUUUUCAGCUUUUGCCAGCUCCCACUCUAGCUUUGCCAUUCAUUCCUAUGGGACAAAUUACGCCACAAGAACGACGAUAUUCUGUGAACCAUUCGGCGAAACGUUCCACAAAGUAAUAGCAAUCCGAUCGGGAACAAUCUGCACGUUUUGGUAAAUUUUUGUCUAUGUAGUGUAAAAACUGUGGGAGGAGUUAGGGUGGCAAAUUUUGCUAUAAUAAUAAUAAUAAUAAUA
This is a non-coding RNA of Pelobates cultripes (western spadefoot toad), 734 nucleotides long. The record is from the annotation of a GenBank genome assembly. NCBI's taxonomy places the organism in Eukaryota, Metazoa, Chordata, Amphibia, Anura, Pelobatidae.